AACGAACGCUGGCGGCAGGCCUAACACAUGCAAGUCGAACGCCCCGCAAGGGGAGUGGCAGACGGGUGAGUAACACGUGGGAACCUUCCCUAUACUACGGAAUAGCCCAGGGAAACUUGGAGUAAUACCGUAUACGCCCGAGAGGGGAAAGAUUUAUCGGUAUAGGAUGGGCCCGCGUAGGAUUAGCUAGUUGGUGAGGUAAUGGCUCACCAAGGCGACGAUCCUUAGCUGGUCUGAGAGGACGACUAGCCACACUGGGACUGAGACACGGCCCAGACUCCUACGUGAGGCAGCAGUGGGGAAUAUUGGACAAUGGGCGCAAGCCUGAUCCAGCCAUGCCGCGUGAGUGAUGAAGGCCUUAGGGUUGUAAAGCUCUUUUGCCGGGGACGAUAAUGACGGUACCCGGAGAAUAAGUCCCGGCUAACUUCGUGCCAGCAGCCGCGGUAA
RNAcentral lists this ribosomal RNA (447 nucleotides) under uncultured bacterium. Its description in RNAcentral is "partial 16S ribosomal RNA". It matches the Rfam family "Bacterial small subunit ribosomal RNA", at positions 29 to 523 of the family's 1533-position model. The record is from RNAcentral.